This 468-nucleotide ribosomal RNA is filed under the name uncultured bacterium. RNAcentral describes it as "partial 16S ribosomal RNA". It matches the Rfam family "Bacterial small subunit ribosomal RNA", at positions 28 to 507 of the family's 1533-position model. The record is from RNAcentral.
GACGAACGCUGGCGGCGUGCUUAACACAUGCCAGUCGAACGGAAAGGCCCUGCUUUUGUGGGGUGCUCGAGUGGCGAACGGGUGAGUAACACGUGAGUAACCUGCCCUUGACUUUGGGAUAACUUCAGGAAACUGGGGCUAAUACUGGAUAGGAGCUCCUGCUGCAUGGUGGGGGUUGGAAAGUUUCGGCGGUUGGGGAUGGACUCGCGGCUUAUCAACUUGUUGGUGGGGUAGUGGCUUACCAAGGCUUUGACGGGUAGCCGGCCUGAGAGGGUGACCGGCCACAUUGGGACUGAGAUACGGCCCCGACUCCUACGGGAGGCAGCAGUGGGGAAUAUUGCACAAUGGGCGGAAGCCUGAUGCAGCAACGCCGCGUGCGGGAUGACGGCCUUCGGGUUGUAAACCGCUUUCGCCUGUGACGAAGCGUGAGUGACGGUAAUGGGUAAAGAAGCACCGGCUAACUACGUG